RNAcentral lists this ribosomal RNA (254 nucleotides) under uncultured bacterium. RNAcentral's name for it is "partial 16S ribosomal RNA". It matches the Rfam family "Bacterial small subunit ribosomal RNA", at positions 524 to 776 of the family's 1533-position model. The record is from RNAcentral.
UACAGAGACUGCAAGCGUUAUUCGGAUUUACUGGGCGUAAAGGGCGCGUAGGCGGUCGUGACAAGUCACUUGUGAAAUCUCCGGGCUUAACUCGGAACGGUCAAGUGAUACUGUCGGACUAGAGUACAGAAGGGGCAACUGGAAUUCUCGGUGUAGCGGUGAAAUGCGUAGAUAUCGAGAGGAACACCUGCGGCGAAGGCGGGUUGCUGGGCUGAUACUGACGCUGAGGCGCGAAAGCCAGGGGAGCGAACGGG